AUUGAACGCUGGCGCAUGCCUUACACAUGCAAGUCGAACGGCAGCACGGGAGCAAUCCUGGUGGCGAGUGGCGAACGGGUGAGUAAUAUAUCGGAACGUGCCCAGUCGUGGGGGAUAACGUAGCGAAAGCUACGCUAAUACCGCAUACGAUCUAUGGAUGAAAGCGGGGGAUCGCAAGACCUCGCGCGAUUGAAGCGGCCGAUAUCAGAUUAGGUAGUUGGUGAGGUAAAGGCUCACCAAGCCGACGAUCUGUAGCUGGUCUGAGAGGACGACCAGCCACACUGGGACUGAGACACGGCCCAGACUCCUACGGGAGGCAGCAGUGGGAAUUUUGGACAAUGGGCGCAAGCCUGAUCCAGCAAUGCCGCGUGCAGGAUGAAGGCCUUCGGGUUGUAAACUGCUUUGUACGGAACGAAACGGUGAGCUCUAAUACAGUUUGCUAAUGACGGUACCGUAAGAAUAAGCACCGGCUAACUACGUG
RNAcentral lists this ribosomal RNA (481 nucleotides) under uncultured bacterium. RNAcentral's name for it is "bacterial SSU rRNA". It matches the Rfam family "Bacterial small subunit ribosomal RNA", at positions 30 to 507 of the family's 1533-position model. The record is from RNAcentral.